UUGGUCUUAGGAACCAAAAAAUUGGUGCAACUCCAAGUAAAAGUA
This 45-nucleotide transfer RNA is filed under the name Martes americana caurina. RNAcentral describes it as "partial tRNA-Leu". The record is from RNAcentral. Lineage: Eukaryota; Metazoa; Chordata; Mammalia; Carnivora; Mustelidae.